Molecule: unclassified non-coding RNA, 395 nt
Filed under: soil metagenome
Description: partial contains 5.8S ribosomal RNA, internal transcribed spacer 2, and large subunit ribosomal RNA
Rfam family: 5.8S ribosomal RNA (bases 1-120)
Source: RNAcentral
GAUGAAGAACGUAGCGAAAUGCGAUAAGUAGUGUGAAUUGCAGAAUUCAGUGAAUCAUCGAAUCUUUGAACGCAUCUUGCGCUCCUUGGUAUUCCGAGGAGCAUGCCUGUUUGAGUGUCAUUUUAACUUCUCAACCAUAUCGAAUUGUUUUUCGAGGUGGCUUGGACAUGGGGGUUUUUGCAGGCUUUAAUAAUGAAGUCGGCUCCUCUGAAAUGCAUUAGUGGUAUCUGAAGCAGAACUGCUACUAUUAGGUGUGAUAAUUAUCUAUGCCUCUUGGUAUACUGCAUGAACAGAUUGCGCUGCUUCCAACUUGUACACCCUUUGGUGUUUGACAAAUUUGACCUCAAAUCAGGUAGGACUACCCGCUGAACUUAAGCAUAUCAAUAAGCGGAGGA